AUUGAACGCUGGCGGCAGGCUUAACACAUGCAAGUCGAGCGGGGUGAUGGUGCUUGCACUAUCACUUAGCGGCGGACGGGUGAGUAAUGCUUAGGAAUCUGCCUAUUAGUGGGGGACAACAUCUCGAAAGCGAUGCUAAUACCGCAUACGUCCUCCGGGAGAAAGCAGGCGAUCACUUGUGACCUUGCGCUAAUAGAUGAGCCUAAGUCGGAUUAGCUAGUUGGUGGGGUAAAGGCCUACCAAGGCGACGAUCUUUAGCGGGUCUGAGAGGAUGAUCCGCCACACUGGGACUGAGACACGGCCCAGACUCCUACGGGAGGCAGCAGUGGGGAAUAUUGGACAAUGGGGGGAACCCUGAUCCAGCCAUGCCGCGUGUGUGAAGAAGGCCUUAUGGUUGUAAAGCACUUUAAGCGAGGAGGAGGCUCUUUUGGUUAAUACCCAAGAUGAGUGGACGUUACUCGCAGAAUAAGCACCGGCUAACUCUGUGCCAGCCGCCGCAGUAA
This 503-nucleotide ribosomal RNA is filed under the name uncultured bacterium. Its description in RNAcentral is "partial 16S ribosomal RNA". It matches the Rfam family "Bacterial small subunit ribosomal RNA", at positions 30 to 523 of the family's 1533-position model. The record is from RNAcentral.